This 2426-nucleotide ribosomal RNA is filed under the name Salpingoeca rosetta. RNAcentral's name for it is "eukaryotic LSU rRNA". It matches the Rfam family "Eukaryotic large subunit ribosomal RNA", at positions 1299 to 3401 of the family's 3401-position model. Lineage: Eukaryota; Choanoflagellata; Craspedida; Salpingoecidae. The record is from RNAcentral.
GAAUCAACUAGCCCUGAAAAUGGAUGGCGCUCAAGCGUCGUACCUAUACUCGCUGUGUGUGGAAGAAAGCGAGCGAAGCGAGCAUUCGUGCUUGUUGCGUCUCAAACUACAUGUAGCCACACACAAGUAGGUGGGCGUGGAGGUGUUUGCGUGAGAGCAAUCUUUUGAACAAGCCGUGGAAGCCUGUGGCGUGAGCCUGGGUGGAGGGGCCUCCAGUGCAGAUCUUGGUGACAGUAGCAACGAUUCAAAUGAGAGCUUUGAAGACUGAAGUGGAGCAAGGUUCCGUGGGAACAGCAGUUGGCCACGGGUGAGUCGGUCCUAAGAGAUGGGGCAGUCCUGUGUCAAGUGGGGAGUUGUUGCGUGUGUGUGGGUGGUGGUGAUAUUAUCGCCAUGCUUGCACACGUGUUGAUUACCCCAGUCCAUCGAAAGGGAACCAGGUUAAGAUUCCUGGACCAACGCACGCCACAAAGAAUGUUUUGAUAGAGCAGCGGCAACGCGUACAAACUCGGAGACGCUGCCGGGGGCCCUGGAAAGAGUUUUCUUUUCUUUUUAACGAGCCGCAUUGUGGGGGGGAAUAGGGGGAAUAGUGUUAGUUUAUUCUGCGCUCUUCAACCUUCCUCCUCGCAUUCUCUGACCCUGGAAUCAGUUUGGCUGGAGAUGGGGUGAGAGGCUCGGCAAAGCACCACUGACCUCUUUUUGUUGUGGUGUCCGGCGCGUUCCCGGCGGUCCAUGAAAAUCCGAGGGUGUGAAUGGUAGCAGUGUGGGGGGAAGAAGAGAAGCACUUGUGCUAAUCUAUUUUCUCCGCUGCAUGUGGGCAUGGUUGGCCGUACUGAUAACCGCAGCAGGUCUCCAAGGUGAAGAGCCUCUAGUUUGAUAGACGAAUGUAGGUAAGGGAAGUCGGCAAAAUAGAUCCGUAAGCUCGCGAUAAGGAUUGGCUCAAGAGGUUGAUUGUGUGUGUGGGGGGUGGCGGUGAAAGGGGGUGUGUGUGUGUUUUCAUACACGCUUCCAUUGGCACUCUUACUGUCUGCGCACACUAUUUUUUAGCAACCGAUCUUGAACUGGUACGGACAAGGGGAAUCCGACUGUUUACUUAAAACAAAGCAUUGCGAGGAUAGGCUGUUGCGACGGUGUAGACGCAAUGUGAUUUCUGCCCAGUGCUCAGAAUGUCAACGUGAAGAAAUUCAAGCCAAGCGCGGGAUCAACGGCGGAAGUAACUAUGACUUUCUUAAGGUAGCCAAAUGCCUCGUCAUUUAACUGGUGACGCGCAUGAAUGGAUUAACGAGAUUCCCACUGUCCCUAUCUACGCUCUAGCGAAACCGCAGCCAAGGGAACGGACUUGGCACAAUCAGCGGGGAAAGAAGACCCGCUAGAGCUUGACUCUAGUCCGACCGUGUGAAAAGACACCAGAGGUGUAGCAUAGGUGGGAGCAGGUGUGGGUUUACUUGUGCUUGCGGCCUUGAAAUACCACUACUCUGGUCGUUUUUUUGCUUAUUGAAUGACACGGGGCUGGUGUGGGUGAUUGUGGUGUGCGUAGCGCGCAUUUCUUGUGUGAGCUGUGCGCACCCGAUCACACAUGUGCACCAUUUCUGGAGAAAGGGAGGGCAGCGUGGAGUGUUUGUGCACUUUAUGUUAUGCCGAUCCCGACCCGCUUUCAAGACGAGGUCAGGUGGGGAGUUUGGCUGGGGCGGCACAUCUGUAAAACGAUAACGCAGGUGUCCCAAGGUGAGCUCAAUGAGAACGGAAAUCUCAUGUGGAGUAAAAGGACAAAAGCUCACUUGAUUUUGUGAUUUUCAGGAUGAAUACAAACUGUGAAAGCAUGGCCUAUCGAUCCUUUAGUCGCGGCGGAUAAGAGUGAACAACGCACUCGUGCGUCUAAGCUCCCAUUCUGCACUGCGCCUGUUGACAGCUUCAACCUAGAGGUGUCCGAAAAGUUACCGGCGGGAUAACUGGCUUGUGGCAGCCAAGCGUUCAUAGCGACGUUGCUUUUUGAUCCUUCGAUGUCGACUCUUCCUAUCAUUGUGAAGCAGAAUUCACCAAGUGUUGGAUUGUUCACCCACUAAUAGGGAACGUGAGUUGGGUUUAGACCGUCGUGAGACAGGUUAGUUUUACCCUACUGAUGAUAUUUAUGACUUACACAGUUGUGAUAGUAAUUCAACUCAGUACGAGAGGAACCGUUGAUUCGGAUAGUUGGUUCAUGCGGUUGGCUGAGGAGCCAGGGCCGCGACGCUAUCAUCCGUAGGAUUAUGACUGAACGCCUCUAAGUCAGAAUCCAUGCUAGAUUUGCGCAGCUGUACUGUUGCUGGUGGUGGCAUGUAAAAGUGUUGCUGCCAGUGGUUUUUGGUUUCUCUUCGAGAUUUGAUGGUGGUGGUGUGUUGUGGUGCCUCGUGUGCUGCAGUGCACUGUCAUUUAUUGUAAUAGCAGGCGAA